AACCAGGAUGUUGGCUUAGAAGCAGCGACUCAGUCAAAUAGGGCGUAAUAGCUCAAUGGUCGAGUGAUCCUGCGCCGCAGAUUUACGGGGCGAAAACUUACUACAGAAGCUAAGGCAUCAGUAGGGAGGGGUAGGGGAGCUUCCCAGACGGGUUGAAGCAUGACCGUAAGGAUAUGUGGAAAGUAUGGGAGUGAGAAUGUUGGCAUGAGUAGCGAGAUGUGGGUG
RNAcentral lists this ribosomal RNA (225 nucleotides) under Clostridioides difficile. Its description in RNAcentral is "partial 23S ribosomal RNA". It matches the Rfam family "Bacterial large subunit ribosomal RNA", at positions 1091 to 1323 of the family's 2925-position model. Lineage: Bacteria; Bacillati; Bacillota; Clostridia; Peptostreptococcales; Peptostreptococcaceae. The record is from RNAcentral.